CAGUCGCCACGGGAAUACGUAGGGCGCGAGCGUUAAUCGGAAUUACUGGGCGUAAAGCGUGCGCAGGCGGUUAUGUAAGACAGGUGUGAAAUCCCCGGGCUUAACCUGGGAACUGCGCUUGUGACUGCACAGCUAGAGUAUGGCAGAGGGGGGUGGAAUUCCACGUGUAGCAGUGAAAUGCGUAGAGAUGUGGAGGAAUACCGAUGGCGAAGGCAGCCCCCUGGGCCAAUACUGACGCUCAUGCACGAAAGCGUGGGGAGCAAACAGGAUUAGAUACCCCUGUAGUCCCUGUCUCUUAUAC
This 301-nucleotide ribosomal RNA is filed under the name uncultured bacterium. RNAcentral's name for it is "partial 16S ribosomal RNA". It matches the Rfam family "Bacterial small subunit ribosomal RNA", at positions 509 to 807 of the family's 1533-position model. The record is from RNAcentral.